Molecule: transfer RNA, 71 nt
Filed under: Bos taurus (domestic cattle)
Lineage: Eukaryota; Metazoa; Chordata; Mammalia; Artiodactyla; Bovidae
Also listed under: 2 other names
Rfam family: tRNA
About the family: Transfer RNA (tRNA) molecules are approximately 80 nucleotides in length. Their secondary structure includes four short double-helical elements and three loops (D, anti-codon, and T loops).
Source: Rfam by way of RNAcentral
UCCCUUGUAGCUCAGUUGGUAAAGAAUCUGCCUGCAAAGCAGGAGAACUAGGUUUGAUUCCUGGGUGGGAA